This 443-nucleotide ribosomal RNA is filed under the name uncultured bacterium. Its description in RNAcentral is "partial 16S ribosomal RNA". It matches the Rfam family "Bacterial small subunit ribosomal RNA", at positions 338 to 795 of the family's 1533-position model. The record is from RNAcentral.
CCUACGGGUGGCAGCAGUGGGGAAUAUUGCGCAAUGGAGGAAACUCUGACCCAGCAACGCCGCGUGUAUGAUGAAGGUCUUCGGAUUGUAAAGUUCUUUUCUAAGGGAAGAAGAAAGUGACGGUACCUUAGGAAUAAGCCUCGGCUAACUACGGGACAGCAGCCGCGGUAAUACGUAGGAGGCGAGCGUUAUCCGGGAUGACUGGGCGUAAUGGGUGCGUAGGUGGUUUGGCAAGUUAGUAGCGUAACUCCCAGGCGCAACCUGGGAAAUACUAAUAAAACUGUUGGACUUGAGUGCAGGAGGGGCAACCGGAAUGCCUAGGGUAGCGGUGGAAGGCGUAGAUAUUAGGAGGAACACCAGUGGCGAAGGCGGGUUGCUAGACUGUAACUGACACUGAGGCACGAAAGCGUGGGGAGCAAACAGGAUUAGAUACCCUGGUAGUC